RNAcentral lists this ribosomal RNA (834 nucleotides) under uncultured archaeon. RNAcentral's name for it is "bacterial SSU rRNA". It matches the Rfam family "Archaeal small subunit ribosomal RNA", at positions 21 to 859 of the family's 1478-position model. The record is from RNAcentral.
AGGUCACUGCUAUCGGUGUUCGAUUAAGCCAUGCGAGUCGUGAGGGGUAAAGCCCUCGGCGGAGUGCUCAGUAACACGUGGACAACCUACCCAAGAGUCAGGGAUAACCCCGGGAAACUGGGGAUAAUACCUGAUAGGCCAUGACAUCUGGAAUCGAGUUGUGGUUUAAACGUAAGGCUCUUGGAUGGGUCUGCGGCGGAUUAGGUUGUUGCCGGUGUAACGUACCAGCAAGCCUGUAAUCCGUACGGGUUGUGGGAGCAAGAGCCCGGAGAUGGAUUCUGAGACACGAAUCCAGGCCCUACGGGGCGCAGCAGGCGCGAAAACUCUACAAUGCAGGCAACUGCGAUAGGGGAACAUCGAGUGGCAUCCACCAUGGAUGUCUGUCCAAUCGUCUAAAAAACGAUUGUCAGCAAGGGCCGGGCAAGACCGGUGCCAGCCGCCGCGGUAAUACCGGCGGCUCGAGUGGUGGCCGAUAUUAUUGAGUCUAAAGGGUCCGUAGCCGGCUUUGCAAGUCCUAUGGGAAAUCCAGCGGCUUAACCGUUGGGCUUUCAUGGGAUACUACAUUGCUUGGGUCUGGGAGAGGUAGGAGGUACUCAGGGGGUAGGGGUGAAAUCCUGUAAUCCUUUGGGGACCACCGGUGGCGAAGGCGUCCUACCAGAACAGGUCCGACGGUGAGGGGCGAAAGCUAGGGGCACGAACCGGAUUAGAUACCCGGGUAGUCCUAGCCGUAAACGAUGCUCGCUAGGUGUCACGGCAGUCGUGGAUUGUCGUGGUGCCGUAGGGAAGCCGUGAAGCGAGCCACUUGGGAAGUACGACCGCAAGGUUGAAACUUAA